UACGUAGGUGGCAAGCGUUUGUCCGGAUUUAUUGGGUUUAAAGGGUGCGUAGGCGGUCUUAUAAGUCAGUGCUGAAAUAUCCCGGCUUAACCGGGAGGGUGGCAUUGAUACUGUAGGACUUGAGUAGAGUUUGAGGUUGGCGGAAUUGACGGUGUAGCGGUGAAAUGCUUAGAUAUCGUCAAGAACACCGAUAGUGAAAGACAGCUAAACUAAGCUCAAACUGACGCUGAGGCACGAAAAGUGUGGGGGGAUCAAAACAGG
This 261-nucleotide ribosomal RNA is filed under the name uncultured bacterium. RNAcentral's name for it is "partial 16S ribosomal RNA". It matches the Rfam family "Bacterial small subunit ribosomal RNA", at positions 524 to 776 of the family's 1533-position model. The record is from RNAcentral.